CCAACGAGUUACGUUAAGUAGCAAGGUUAAGCACUUAAGGUGCGGAGCCGUAGCGAAAGCGAGUUUUAACUGAGCGUUCAGUUACUUGACGUAGACCCGAAACCGGGCGACCUACCCAUGAGCAGGAGGAAGCGAAAGUAAAAUUUCGUGGAGGUCCGAACCCACGAGCGUUGAAAAGCUCGGGGAUGACUUGUGGGUAGCGGUGAAAUUCCAAUCG
Molecule: ribosomal RNA, 217 nt
Filed under: Clostridioides difficile
Lineage: Bacteria; Bacillati; Bacillota; Clostridia; Peptostreptococcales; Peptostreptococcaceae
Description: partial 23S ribosomal RNA
Rfam family: Bacterial large subunit ribosomal RNA
Source: RNAcentral